AACAUUUAUCUACUCUGCCUCUACGGAUGGCCGAAGGGGGAUCGAUUGGGUGCGGCCUGUCCUUACCCACAAUCCACCGCGCGGCUCGAAGAAUUGGCGGCAAGGUGACUUGUGUCACGUUACAAAAUAACCGUACAACAUCGAUGUUAUUUAUUUUAAACAGAUAUUUUUAUUUCAUUUUGACCCCAUUCACCGAUGGAUGAAAACGUUGUGGAACUUGGCUAAGUUACAGUCACUCUCAAAUGGGUCCUUGUGCCAGUAAAAGACAAUAGCAAGUAACCCCAAAUAGGAAGACGCCCCUAUCCUCCAACAAAAGUAAGGGUUCAAGAGAAAUAAAUGACUGUUGCUUGUGACUAUGUUGCAACCCUGCACUGCUUGUUUCCAAUCCAUCAAGUAAAGACGGAGGCUGCUGACUUGGACCUAGAAUGCCAAUCAACGAGCCUCAUUCGAAGAUGUCUCAUCAGGAAAAAAUGAAGUGGAAUGGGUUCACUUCCUGUCCCCUCCCAUGGUGGUCUUCAAAUGGGGCCCCUAUCAAAAGCCCCCCCAUGCACACUCCCUGUGGAUGAUCCCCCCCCCCCCCCCGCGCUCCCCCUUCAGCGGUGGCGGGUAAUUGCUACAGUGAGAUGUGGAUCAGUGGAGCUGCCCUAAUCAAUAAAGUCUUCAUCAGCUAUUUCCCCAGAUGAUUCUUCCUCAUUUCUGCCUUAAUUGUUCUUUUUCAUCCAACAAGCCCGGCACCGUUAGUGUGUGUGUUGGUUUGUAUCUCGACGGACCAACAGCGAACGGUGGCCAAGCUGAAGGAACCCGACGAGAACUCUGCCGGAACAAAGUUUCACCUUCCUGGGGAGAAGUUUGAUAACCAAAACCAGAACCAUACAGAAAUCAGAACCUGACUUGACUCAUUUCCAUCAACACAGCGCUUAUUGCCCUUCUGUGCCAGUAAAACGGUAUGGGAGCGCCUCUGUCCCCGGGGGGAGGGGUCGCCGUCUUUCACCGAACCAUCGCCGCUCAUGUGCAGAAGUCCAAUCAAGCAGUCAGAAGAGAGAUGUCUGGAUGAAAGCUACUUUGCAGUGUGCUUCAGUUGGACAGCUUCAGUUGGACUCACACUCAUCAAAAAGUCAAGUGGCGGUCUACUGGGGAAAAAAGAAGAAAAACAUGCUUGCUCAGGACAUCUGGAGUGGCUCCAGUCAAGGUUGUGGGAAAGCGACAUCAUGGCCACUGCUGCCCUUUACUUGACUCUCUUUCAAAAUUGAGAACCAAUCAUCUUCGCUCUCAUGUUUGUCAGUUACGGUCCAUUUGACACACCCGGUCCUACACAAACAGCGUCCUCGCCUCCUGGAACCUGAGUAUCAAUCGGAGGAUGAUGUUGGGUGGCGGCCACGGCGUUGGGGGUCAUUUCAGUCCAUUCGAACAUGAACAGGCAAGCGGGUCAAAGGUAUCGGAGACAGCUGUCCGCCUCCAUCUUCAUCAUGGCCGCCGUGCCCGUGAGUAAUCUCUGAUUUCACUCUGAUUACAUCUCCAGAGGCCUGACUCAGCCAUCUUGGCUUUGGUCGCGCAUACGUGGUCGCUGAUCGUAAAUACAAUAUGUGCAUACGCUACAUCACUGUAGUUCACGCUUUCAUUUGCGUUCUGUUCCCUUUUGGCGUGUUUGUAACGGAUCUCGUCGCCUGGUGAAAACGCACAAAACGUUAUUUGUCCAUACUCUGAAUUGGUGUCCUAAUUUGGGAUCCUGGAAGGUUUCGCUCAAGUUAUCUAAUCACUGAACCCUUCCCGACUUCAGACAGUCGACUGUGAAUGGAUAUUUCCUUUUCGUGCUCAGUUAUUGUCUUGAGCGUACGACUUGAGUUUCCAGUAUGCGGGGGGAGUCAGGCAACGCUAGUCGACCCAGAUCUAACCAAUGUGAUGGAUGGACUCGAACCAGAAACAACACGUCUAUUUGAGUCGGGCAUUGUAUGUCACUGGGUGCCAGUAUAUGUGUGUGUGUGUUUCCUCUCAACACGUGUGCGCUACUAAAAAAACUCAGUUUCGUAACACACACACACACACACUGGGCUGCUGUCGACUGGGAAAUGUUUGGAAGGCAUGGCAACCCAUUUCCAAAAUGGAAUAAAAGCUUGGCAGCAGAUGGACUCGUCUGUGGGCCUGUGGCACUCCUUUUUCCUGUAAUUGGAGAGCAUUUUGUGGGCCUGGCAGGAGCGCUAGUCUCAGGGCCCUGCGCAAAAAAAAAGAAGCUAACAUAAACACUGGAUUUGAAUGAGUAGCACAGCGCAUCAACAGCAAACAUGCUCGCCAUCUGCUCCCGAUGAAGCUGAUUUACGACGCCCGGUUUUCGAUCUGACAAGGAAUAUCUCGAGCACGUUAAUGACACGUAGCGUUCGGGUGAAGUUUAUCAACUGCCAUAAACAUCAACACUUCCCCUAACUGACAACCUUUGUCGGAAGGGGCGGGGGGAGCGUGCUCAUUUGGAGCUUACGGCAUGCAGACGAUGUUAAUUCAUAGAAA
This is a long non-coding RNA of Syngnathus typhle (broad-nosed pipefish), 2499 nucleotides long. RefSeq lists it as uncharacterized. The transcript has 11 exons. The record is from RefSeq and is a predicted model, not a curated record. NCBI's taxonomy places the organism in Eukaryota, Metazoa, Chordata, Actinopteri, Syngnathiformes, Syngnathidae.